UGCAGUCGACGAUGAACCGGUUUCGGCCGGGGAUUAGUGGCGAACGGGUGAGUAACACGUGGGCAAUCUGCCCUGCACUCUGGGACAAGCCCUGGAAACGGGGUCUAAUACCGGAUACGACGCGUUCCCGCAUGGGAUACGUGUGGAAAGCUCCGGCGGUGCAGGAUGAGCCCGCGGCCUAUCAGCUUGUUGGUGGGGUGAUGGCCUACCAAGGCGACGACGGGUAGCCGGCCUGAGAGGGCGACCGGCCACACUGGGACUGAGACACGGCCCAGACUCCUACGGGAGGCAGCAGUGGGGAAUAUUGCACAAUGGGCGCAAGCCUGAUGCAGCGACGCCGCGUGAGGGAUGACGGCCUUCGGGUUGUAAACCUCUUUCAGCAGGGAAGAAGCGUGAGUGACGGUACCUGCAGAAGAAGCGCCGGCUAACUACGUGCCAGCAGCCGCGGUAAUACGUAGGGCGCAAGCGUUGUCCGGAAUUAUUGGGCGUAAAGAGCUCGUAGGCGGCUUGUCGCGUCGGAUGUGAAAGCCCGGGGCUUAACUCCGGGUCUGCAUUCGAUACGGGCAGGCUAGAGUUCGGUAGGGGAGAUCGGAAUUCCUGGUGUAGCGGUGAAAUGCGCAGAUAUCAGGAGGAACACCGGUGGCGAAGGCGGAUCUCUGGGCCGAUACUGACGCUGAGGAGCGAAAGCGUGGGGAGCGAACAGGAUUAGAUACCCUGGUAGUCCACGCCGUAAACGUUGGGAACUAGGUGUGGGCGACAUUCCACGUUGUCCGUGCCGCAGCUAACGCAUUAAGUUCCCCGCCUGGGGAGUACGGCCGCAAGGCUAAAACUCAAAGGAAUUGAC
Molecule: ribosomal RNA, 844 nt
Filed under: Streptomyces sp.
Lineage: Bacteria; Bacillati; Actinomycetota; Actinomycetes; Kitasatosporales; Streptomycetaceae
Description: bacterial SSU rRNA
Rfam family: Bacterial small subunit ribosomal RNA
Source: RNAcentral